RNAcentral lists this transfer RNA (69 nucleotides) under Marmota monax (woodchuck). It matches the Rfam family "tRNA". Rfam says of the family: Transfer RNA (tRNA) molecules are approximately 80 nucleotides in length. Their secondary structure includes four short double-helical elements and three loops (D, anti-codon, and T loops). Further hydrogen bonds mediate the characteristic L-shaped molecular structure. tRNAs have two regions of fundamental functional importance: the anti-codon, which is responsible for specific mRNA codon recognition, and the 3' end, to which the tRNAs corresponding amino acid is attached (by aminoacyl-tRNA synthetases). tRNAs cope with the degeneracy of the genetic code in two manners: having more than one tRNA (with a specific anti-codon) for a particular amino acid; and 'wobble' base-pairing, i.e. permitting non-standard base-pairing at the 3rd anti-codon position. RNAcentral also lists the same sequence under 1 other name. Lineage: Eukaryota; Metazoa; Chordata; Mammalia; Rodentia; Sciuridae. The record is from Rfam by way of RNAcentral.
GGAGUUGUGGCUCAAAGGUAGAGCGUGUGCCUAGCACGCGCGAGGCCCUGGGUUCUAUCCUCAGCACCA